Molecule: ribosomal RNA, 253 nt
Filed under: uncultured bacterium
Lineage: Bacteria
Description: partial 16S ribosomal RNA
Rfam family: Bacterial small subunit ribosomal RNA
Source: RNAcentral
UACGUAGGGGGCGAGCGUUGUCCGGAGUUACUGGGCGUAAAGCGCACGCAGGCGGUCUGUUAAGUUUGGAGUGACAGUUGGUGGCUUAACUGCCAAAGUGCUUCGAAAACUGACAGACUUGAGGGCUUCAGAGGGACACGGAAUUCCGGGUGGAGUGGUGAAAUGCGUAGAUAUCUGGAGGAACACCGGUGGCGAAGGCGGCAUCCUGGACCGACAUUGACGCUGAGGCGCGAAAGCCAGGGGAGCAAACGGG